Molecule: non-coding RNA, 945 nt
Filed under: Pristimantis peraticus
Lineage: Eukaryota; Metazoa; Chordata; Amphibia; Anura; Strabomantidae
Description: partial 12S ribosomal RNA
Rfam family: Bacterial small subunit ribosomal RNA
Source: RNAcentral
GAUCCUCAUAGAUCCUUUAGACACACAGGCUUGGUCCCAGCCUUGAAAUCAAUUUUUACUUGACUUACACAUGCAAGUCUCCGCACACCCGUGAGAACGCCCUUCCCCCCACUUUGGGCCAAGGAGCUGAUAUCAGGCACUUAAACGCCCAAGACAUCUAGUCAUGCCACACCCACAAGGGUCUCCAGCAGUGAUCAACAUUAAAAAUAAACGUCAGUUUGAUUUAGCCAAUGAAAAUAGAGCCGGCCAAUCUGGUGCCAGCCGCCGCGGUCACACCACGUGGCUCAAAUUGAUUUUACCCGGCGUAAAGCGUGAUUAAAGAGAACAACUUAUUAGGGCUAAACUUAAACUAAGCCGUAGCACGCUUGUUUUUAAGAAAAUCAUACCUUAAAAUACCCCAACACACCAACUUGAACUCACGAUAACUAGGACACAAACUGGGAUUAGAUACCCCACUAUGCCUAGUCGUAAACCCUAACUUACACCUCCAUCGCCUGGGAACUACGAGCAAAGCUUAAAACCCAAAGGACUUGACGGUGCCCCACAUCCAGCUAGAGGAGCCUGUCCUACAACCGAUACCCCCCGUUCAACCUCACCACUUUUAGUUUAUCAGCCUGUAUACUUCCGUCGCCAGCUUACCGCGUGAGCGAAACAAGUAAGCUUAAUGUUUAUUCAUCAGAACGUCAGGUCAAAGUGCAGCAAAUAAAGUGGGAAGAGAUGGGCUACACUUUCUACCCUAGAAGACACGAAAGACAAUAUGAAGCACAGUCAGAAGGCGGAUUUAGUAGUAAGAGGAAGCAGAAUAUUCCUCUUAAUCCAGCACUGGGGCGUGUACACACCGCCCGUCACCCUCUUCAACACAACAUUUUAGUAUUUAACAACUUACACCGCAAAGAAGAGGUAAGUCGUAACAUGGUAAGUAUACCGGAAGGUGUGCUUGGAAAC